CAAAGAAUAGUUUAAAAAAAAAUUAUAAUUUUGGAGAUUAUUGAUAAAGAAGUUCUUUUUCUUUGA
RNAcentral lists this transfer RNA (66 nucleotides) under Callerebia polyphemus. RNAcentral describes it as "tRNA-Pro". The record is from RNAcentral. Lineage: Eukaryota; Metazoa; Arthropoda; Insecta; Lepidoptera; Nymphalidae.